RNAcentral lists this ribosomal RNA (461 nucleotides) under uncultured bacterium. RNAcentral's name for it is "partial 16S ribosomal RNA". It matches the Rfam family "Bacterial small subunit ribosomal RNA", at positions 338 to 795 of the family's 1533-position model. The record is from RNAcentral.
CCUACGGGUGGCAGCAGUGAGGAAUAUUGGUCAAUGGACGGAAGUCUGAACCAGCCAUGCCGCGUGCAGGAAGACGGCUCUAUGAGUUGUAAACUGCUUUUGUACAAGGGUAAACCUGAAUACGUGUAUUCAGCUGACAGUAUUGUAUGAAAAAGGAUCGGCUCACUUCGGGCCCGCAGCGGCGGUAAUACUGGGGAUGCAAGCGUUAUCCGGAUUUUUUGGGUUUAAAGGGUGCGUAGGCUGGGAGGUAAGGCAGCGGGGAAAUGCCCCCGCUCAACGGGGUGAAGUGCAAUUGAUAAUGGCUGGCUGGAGUGCGGAUGGCGUGGGAGGAAUGAGUGGUGUAGCGGUGAAAUGCAUAGAUAUCACGCAGAACACCGAUUGCGAAGGCAACUCACGAAGCCGCGAUUGACGCUGAGGCUCGAAAGCGUGGGUAUCAAACAGGAUUAGAUACCCCUGUAGUC